RNAcentral lists this ribosomal RNA (253 nucleotides) under uncultured prokaryote. RNAcentral describes it as "partial 16S ribosomal RNA". It matches the Rfam family "Bacterial small subunit ribosomal RNA", at positions 525 to 777 of the family's 1533-position model. The record is from RNAcentral.
ACGGAGGGGGCUAGCGUUGUUCGGAAUUACUGGGCGUAAAGCGCGCGUGGGCGGCUUUGUAAGUCAGAGGUGAAAUCCCGGGGCUCAACUCCGGAACUGCCUUUGAAACUGCAUCGCUUGAAUCCGGGAGAGGUGAGUGGAAUUCCGAGUGUAGAGGUGAAAUUCGUAGAUAUUCGGAAGAACACCAGUGGCGAAGGCGGCUCACUGGACCGGUAAUGACGCUGAGGUGCGAAAGCGUGGGGAGCAAACAGGA